This 253-nucleotide ribosomal RNA is filed under the name uncultured bacterium. RNAcentral's name for it is "partial 16S ribosomal RNA". It matches the Rfam family "Bacterial small subunit ribosomal RNA", at positions 524 to 776 of the family's 1533-position model. The record is from RNAcentral.
UACGUAGGGUGCAAGCGUUAAUCGGAAUUAUUGGGCGUAAAGAGCUCGUAGGCGGUUUGUCGCGUCUGCUGUGAAAACUGGAGGCUCAACCUCCAGCCUGCAGUGGGUACGGGCAGACUAGAGUGCGGUAGGGGAGAUUGGAAUUCCUGGUGUAGCGGUGGAAUGCGCAGAUAUCAGGAGGAACACCGAUGGCGAAGGCAGAUCUCUGGGCCGUAACUGACGCUGAGGAGCGAAAGCAUGGGGAGCGAACAGG